UUAACUACUCUGUAGAUUUAAGUUUUCCCUUCAUCCACAAAACAGGUAAAGUAAGGACACUGCAAUGUAAGCUUCCCCCAUUAGCCUGCCUCUGUUCCUCAACCCGGACCUAGAGUGACCACCUUGUAAUUCCUCUGCUAAGGCUGCCAAAAAGGACCACAUUUGCUGGUUUUAUUAUAGUGCCCUC
This 187-nucleotide small RNA is filed under the name Chrysemys picta bellii (western painted turtle). Its description in RNAcentral is "TUC338 (ENSCPBG00000003852.1)". The record is from RNAcentral. Lineage: Eukaryota; Metazoa; Chordata; Testudines; Emydidae.